RNAcentral lists this ribosomal RNA (468 nucleotides) under uncultured bacterium. RNAcentral's name for it is "partial 16S ribosomal RNA". It matches the Rfam family "Bacterial small subunit ribosomal RNA", at positions 28 to 507 of the family's 1533-position model. The record is from RNAcentral.
GACGAACGCUGGCGGCGUGCUUAACACAUGCAAGUCGAACGGAAAGGCCCUGCUUUUGUGGGGUGCUCGAGUGGCGAACGGGUGAGUAACACGUGAGUAACCUGCCCUUGACUUUGGGAUAACUUCAGGAAACUGGGGCUAAUACCGGAUAGGAGCUCCUGCUGCAUGGUGGGGGUUGGAAAGUUUCGGCGGUUGGGGAUGGACUCACGGCUUAUCAGCUUGUUGGUGGGGUAGUGGCUUACCAAGGCUUCGACGGGUAGCCGGCCUGAGAGGGUGACCGGCCACAUUGGGACUGAGAUACGGCCCAGACUCCUACGGGAGGCAGCAGUGGGGAAUAUUGCACAAUGGGCGGAAGCCUGAUGCAGCAACGCCGCGUGCGGGAUGACGGCCUUCGGGUUGUAAACCGCUUUCGCCUGUGACGAAGCGUGAGUGACGGUAAUGGGUAAAGAAGCACCGGCUAACUACGUG